GAUUUCUGGCUUGAAACUUGAUGCCGGCCACAGUUUUGUGUGUUAGUGCAUCAUGUUCGCGCCAUCCUUCCAAUCGCUAUUCACCUUUCUUCAUUGAUUGGUGAGUGGUAUUGGAUCUUUUACUUUGAAAAAAUUAGAGUGUUUCAAGCAGGCUUUAUGCUAUGAAUACAUUAGCAUGGAAUAAUAAUUUAGGACUUCGGUUCUAUUUUGUUGGUUUCUAGGACUGAAGUAAUGAUUGAUAGGGAUAGUUGGGGGUGCUAGUAUUCAGCGGCCAGAGGUGAAAUUCUCGGAUUCGCUGAAGACUAACUUAUGCGAAAGCAUU
RNAcentral lists this ribosomal RNA (322 nucleotides) under Sandonidae sp. RNAcentral describes it as "SSU rRNA". It matches the Rfam family "Eukaryotic small subunit ribosomal RNA", at positions 634 to 955 of the family's 1831-position model. The record is from RNAcentral. Lineage: Eukaryota; Cercozoa; Glissomonadida; Sandonidae.